UAUUUGUGCAGAUGUUCAUGA
This 21-nucleotide non-coding RNA is filed under the name Caenorhabditis elegans. The record is from RNAcentral. Lineage: Eukaryota; Metazoa; Nematoda; Chromadorea; Rhabditida; Rhabditidae.